RNAcentral lists this ribosomal RNA (642 nucleotides) under Agromyces tropicus. RNAcentral's name for it is "bacterial SSU rRNA". It matches the Rfam family "Bacterial small subunit ribosomal RNA", at positions 836 to 1473 of the family's 1533-position model. Lineage: Bacteria; Bacillati; Actinomycetota; Actinomycetes; Micrococcales; Microbacteriaceae. The record is from RNAcentral.
AGUUUCCGCGUCGUAGCUAACGCAUUAAGCGCCCCGCCUGGGGAGUACGGCCGCAAGGCUAAAACUCAAAGGAAUUGACGGGGGCCCGCACAAGCGGCGGAGCAUGCGGAUUAAUUUGAUGCAACGCGAAGAACCUUACCAAGGCUUGACAUGCACCAGAACACCCUGGAGACAGGGGACUCUUUGGACACUGGUGUACAGGUGGUGCAUGGUUGUCGUCAGCUCGUGUCGUGAGAUGUUGGGUUAAGUCCCGCAACGAGCGCAACCCUCGUCGCAUGUUGCCAGCACGUUAUGGUGGGGACUCAUGUGAGACUGCCGGGGUCAACUCGGAGGAAGGUGGGGAUGACGUCAAAUCAUCAUGCCCCUUAUGUCUUGGGCUUCACGCAUGCUACAAUGGCCGGUACAAAGGGCUGCGAUGUCGUAAGGCGGAGCGAAUCCCAAAAAGCCGGUCUCAGUUCGGAUUGAGGUCUGCAACUCGACCUCAUGAAGUCGGAGUCGCUAGUAAUCGCAGAUCAGCAACGCUGCGGUGAAUACGUUCCCGGGCCUUGUACACACCGCCCGUCAAGUCAUGAAAGUCGGUAACACCCGAAGCCGGUGGCCUAACCCUUGUGGAGGGAGCCGUCGAAAGGGGGGAAUCCGGGU